This 392-nucleotide ribosomal RNA is filed under the name uncultured bacterium. Its description in RNAcentral is "bacterial SSU rRNA". It matches the Rfam family "Bacterial small subunit ribosomal RNA", at positions 417 to 793 of the family's 1533-position model. The record is from RNAcentral.
UUCGGGUUGUAAAGUACUUUCAGUCGUGAGGAAGGCGGCGUCGUUAAUAGCGGCGUUGUUUGACGUUAGCGACAGAAGAAAGCACCGGCUAACUCCGUGCCAGCAGCCGCGGUAAUACGGAGGGUGCGAGCGUUAAUCGGAAUUACUGGGCGUAAAGCGCAUGCAGGUGGUUUGUUAAGUCAGAUGUGAAAGACCCGGGGCGUCAACCUCGGAAUUGCAUUUGUAAACUAGGCAGACUAGAGUACUGUAGAGGGGGGUAGGAAUUUCAGGUGUAGCGGUGAAAUAGCGUAGAGAUCUGAAGGAAUACCGGUGGCGAAGGCGGCCCCCUCGGACAGAUACUGACACUCAGAUGCGAAAGCGUGGGGAGCAAACAGGAUUAGAUACCCUGGUAG